Non-coding RNA from Pipistrellus kuhlii (Kuhl's pipistrelle), 133 nucleotides. The record is from RefSeq and is a predicted model, not a curated record. Lineage: Eukaryota; Metazoa; Chordata; Mammalia; Chiroptera; Vespertilionidae.
GCCCUGUGUAACCCUAAGAACAAAUUCAUCAAUGGUGUGCUACGGCGUAGCCACAGGCAGCCCACUUCCAACGUGAUUCCUGCUGGCGGGGCCUGAUAGUUAUUGGAUCGCCUGUGCGAUGGCUCCAUACAUG